Molecule: long non-coding RNA, 410 nt
Organism: Gasterosteus aculeatus aculeatus (three-spined stickleback)
Lineage: Eukaryota; Metazoa; Chordata; Actinopteri; Perciformes; Gasterosteidae
Source: Ensembl
GCAGCAGGGUGGAGAUGCGACACCGUUAGCAUAACAGCUCGCCAAGGCGGUCGACCUCCCGCCAAGAUUUGCUUGUCAGAUUGUGUAAAACAUGACGUCCUCCUCUCCUCGCACGCAGACCCACGGCUUUCGCGUGCACACUUUGCCCUUUGGUCAUCGCCGGCAACGUCACCGGAAGCACCUGGAAUGUCACCGUUUGUGUGUGAGAGAAGCGAGGAAGGACUGCUGAAUCUUCUCUUCUGGCCGCUCCCAACGGGGCUUUCAUUUUGCGAUGAUGCAAAAUAAUAUCUUUAUGGAAUGGAUUUUUUUUUUUAUUAUUUCAAGGCAUGCAGACAAACAUCUUAAAGUCAGCUCCCACUAAAGUACCACUUCCUUUUGUAAGUUAUCAGAAUGAAAUGUUAUUGCCUUCA